This 413-nucleotide ribosomal RNA is filed under the name uncultured bacterium. RNAcentral's name for it is "bacterial SSU rRNA". It matches the Rfam family "Bacterial small subunit ribosomal RNA", at positions 360 to 773 of the family's 1533-position model. The record is from RNAcentral.
AAUCUUGCGCAAUGGCCGAAAGGCUGACGCAGCGACGCCGCGUGUGGGAGGACGCCUUUCGGGGUGUAAACCACUGUUGCCCGGGACGAACACGGCUAUUCGUAGCCGCUGACGGUACCGGGUGAGGAAGCACCGGCUAACUCCGUGCCAGCAGCCGCGGUAAAACGUAGGAGACAAACGUUAUCCGGAGUUACUGGGCGUAAAGGGCGUGUAGGUGGUUUCGUAAGUCUGGCGUGAAAUUUUUCGGCUUAACCGGGAAAGGUCGUCGGAUACUGCGGGACUAGAGGACGGUAGAGGCGUGUGGAAUUCCGGGUGUAGUGGUGAAAUGCGUAGAGAUCCGGAGGAACACCAGUGGCGAAGGCGACACGCUGGGCCGUACCUGACACUGAUGCGCGACAGCAUGGGGAGCAAAC